UGACCUCUGACCUCAAAUCAGGUAGGACUACCCGCUGAACUUAAGCAUAUCAAUGCGG
This 58-nucleotide ribosomal RNA is filed under the name Ganoderma lucidum. RNAcentral's name for it is "partial 28S ribosomal RNA". The record is from RNAcentral. Lineage: Eukaryota; Fungi; Basidiomycota; Agaricomycetes; Polyporales; Polyporaceae.